UACAGAGGGUGCAAGCGUUAAUCGGAAUUACUGGGCGUAAAGCGUGCGUAGUCGGUUAUCUAAGUCGGGGUGUGAAAUCCCCGGGCUCAACCUGGGAAUUGCAUUCGAUACUGGAUAGCUAGAGUUCGGCAGAGGGAAGCGGAAUUUCGGGUGUAGCGGUGAAAUGCGUAGAUAUCCGAAGGAACAUCAGUGGCGAAAGCGGCUUCCUGGACCAGAACUGACGAUCAGGCACGAAAGCGUGGGGAGCAAACAGG
RNAcentral lists this ribosomal RNA (254 nucleotides) under uncultured bacterium. Its description in RNAcentral is "partial 16S ribosomal RNA". It matches the Rfam family "Bacterial small subunit ribosomal RNA", at positions 524 to 776 of the family's 1533-position model. The record is from RNAcentral.